RNAcentral lists this ribosomal RNA (404 nucleotides) under Bacillota bacterium. RNAcentral's name for it is "Firmicutes bacterium partial 16S ribosomal RNA". It matches the Rfam family "Bacterial small subunit ribosomal RNA", at positions 355 to 776 of the family's 1533-position model. The record is from RNAcentral. Lineage: Bacteria; Bacillati; Bacillota.
CAAGGAAUUUUCGUCAAUGGGCGCAAGCCUGAACGAGCAACGCCGCGUGGAGGAUGACGGCCUUCGGGUUGUAAACUCCUUUUUCGGGGGACGAUAAUGACGGUACCCCGGGAAAAAGGCUCGGCUAACUCUGUGCCAGCAGCCGCGGUAAUACAGAGGAGCCAAGCGUUGUCCGGAUUGACUGGGCGUAAAGCGCACGCAGGCGGACGCGCGCGUGGGGUGUGAAAUCUGGCCGCUUAACGGCCAGGCGCCAUCCCAUACGGCGCGUCUGGAGUGAUGCAGAGGUCGAUGGAAUUGCCGGUGUAGUGGUGAAAUGCGUAGAGAUCGGCAGGAACACCCAGGGGGAAACCAGUCGACUGGGCAUCUACUGACGCUGAGGUGCGAGAGCGUGGGGAGCGAACCGG